This 419-nucleotide long non-coding RNA is filed under the name Ananas comosus (pineapple). RNAcentral's name for it is "long non-coding RNA (ACOM_LNC000663)". The record is from RNAcentral. Lineage: Eukaryota; Viridiplantae; Streptophyta; Magnoliopsida; Poales; Bromeliaceae.
UCACCUUAGUUUUUACUUCAUCAUCUACUAGUGAAGGCCCGCGCUUCGCGGUGAAAAAUUUAUACAAUUUUUAAAAUAUUUUGAACAAAUUUUUUUAAUUUUUUAAUUUGCAAAUCUAAUUUCAAAUUUUAAACUUCAAAAAAUUGAAGAGAGGAAAAUUAAAAAAAUUAUUUAAAUAAAGAGGGAUAAAAAAUUUUGAAGUUUGAAAUGCGAUUUAUUAUAUGUAUUAUUAAUAAAUUAAUUAAUUAUAUAUUAUAUAAUAUUAUUAAUAAAUGUAAUUAAUUAAUUAAUUUUAUAGAGUUUAGAGAUUAAAAAGUUUAAACUUUGAAGUUUAAAAUUAAAAUAAAUAUUAUAUGGUAAUAUUUACAUUUAAAAUUUAAAUGUAAAAUAUAAAAUUUGAAAAUUAAAAUUUUAAAAGU